RNAcentral lists this ribosomal RNA (494 nucleotides) under uncultured bacterium. Its description in RNAcentral is "partial 16S ribosomal RNA". It matches the Rfam family "Bacterial small subunit ribosomal RNA", at positions 28 to 507 of the family's 1533-position model. The record is from RNAcentral.
GACGAACGCUGGCGGCGUGCUUAACACAUGCAAGUCGAACGGUGAAGCGCCUUCCUUUUUGGUGGGUGUGGAUGAGUGGCGAACGGGUGAGUAACACGUGAGUAACCUGCCCCCUUCUUCUGGAUAACCGCAUGAAAGUGUGGCUAAUACGGGAUAUUCUGGGUCUGUCGCAUGAUGGGUCUGGGAAAGAUAUUGUUUCGGUGGGGGAUGGGCUCGCGGCCUAUCAGCUUGUUGGUGGGGUGAUGGCCUACCAAGGCGGUGACGGGUAGCCGGCCUGAGAGGGUGGACGGUCACACUGGGACGGAGACACGGCCCAGACUCCUACGGGAGGCAGCAGGGGGGAAUAUGGCACAAUGGGCGCAAGCCUGAUGCAGCGACGCCGCGUGAGGGAUGGAGGCCUUCGGGUUGUGAACCUCUUUCGCCAGUGAAGCAGGCCUGCCUCGUUUGUGGGUGGGUUGACGGUAGCUGGAUAAGAAGCGCCGGCUAACUACGUG